This 254-nucleotide ribosomal RNA is filed under the name uncultured bacterium. RNAcentral describes it as "partial 16S ribosomal RNA". It matches the Rfam family "Bacterial small subunit ribosomal RNA", at positions 524 to 776 of the family's 1533-position model. The record is from RNAcentral.
UACGAAGGGGGCUAGCGUUGUUCGGAAUCACUGGGCGUAAAGCGCACGCAGGCGGAUCGUUAAGUCAGGGGUGAAAUCCCGAGGCUCAACCUCGGAACUGCCUCUGAUACUGGCGAUCUUCGAGUCCGGGAGAGGUGAGUGGAACUCCGAGUGUAGAGGUGAAAUUCGUAGAUAUUCGGAAGAACACCAGUGGCGAAGGCGACUUACUGGACACAUAUUGACGCUGAGGUGCGAAAGCGUGGGGAGCAAACAGG